Molecule: ribosomal RNA, 188 nt
Filed under: uncultured Bacteroidota bacterium
Lineage: Bacteria; Pseudomonadati; Bacteroidota
Description: uncultured Bacteroidetes bacterium partial 16S ribosomal RNA
Rfam family: Bacterial small subunit ribosomal RNA
Source: RNAcentral
AGGCAGCAGUGAGGAAUAUUGGACAAUGGGCGCAAGCCUGAUCCAGCCAUGCCGCGUGCAGGAUGACGGUCCUAUGGAUUGUAAACUGYUUUUGCACAGGAAGAAACACACCCUACGUGUMGGGACUUGACGGCUACUGUCGUAGAAUAAGUGAUCAGGCUAACUCCGUGCCAGCAGCCGCGGUAAUA